Molecule: ribosomal RNA, 490 nt
Filed under: uncultured Oscillospiraceae bacterium
Lineage: Bacteria; Bacillati; Bacillota; Clostridia; Eubacteriales; Oscillospiraceae
Description: bacterial SSU rRNA
Rfam family: Bacterial small subunit ribosomal RNA
Source: RNAcentral
AGAGUUUGAUCCUGGCUCAGGACGAACGCUGGCGGCGUGCCUAACACAUGCAAGUCGAACGAUUUAGCAUUUGAGCUUGCUUGAAUGCUGGAUAGUGGCGGACGGGUGAGUAACGCGUGAGCAACCUGCCUUUUUGAGGGGGAUAACACCGGGAAACCGGAGCUAAUACCGCAUAAAAUAUUGAAAUCGCAUGGUAUCGAUAUCAAAGGAGCAAUCCGCAGAAAGAUGGACUCGCGUCCGAUUAGCUAGUUGGAGGGGUAACGGCCCACCAAGGCGACGAUCGGUAGCCGGACUGAGAGGUUGAACGGCCACAUUGGGACUGAGACACGGCCCAGACUCCUACGGGAGGCAGCAGUGGGGGAUAUUGCACAAUGGGGGAAACCCUGAUGCAGCAACGCCGCGUGAGGGAAGAAGGUUUUCGGAUUGUAAACCUCUGUCCUAGGUGAAGAUAAUGACGGUAACCUGGGAGGAAGCUCCGGCUAACUACGUG